UUUUUUUGCUAAAAUCUUCUUAGUGAUUUACAAUGCAGAUUCUAUUCUUAUUGCUUUUAUUGCUGGAUAUGUAACGUCUUCUUUCCGGACAAUGAUGCUUCUCUAUGCCGGAGUUCCUAACUGGCUUUGAGCUUAUGGUCUUUCUGAACAUUUGAUCUGUUUGUCAUUAACUUCUCAAUAUCUACGUGAAAAGACCAUGUAAUGAGAUAAUUAUAAAUUUCCAAAUCUUGUUUUGAAAGUUUGUAGUAUCUAGUUGGUUUAGCAUAUUCAGAAGAGAGGAUUGGUCAGCAUGUUCUCUGUUUUACGUUAUUUGGUCAAAGGUCACUAGGCAGUAUAUUGAUUUUGGUAGCAUUGUUGUUUGAUUAACAGAUAAUAAUUUGCGUCACUGAUCCCUUGAUCAGAACUCUUUGUAGUUCCAAUAUGGCGGCCGAUUGAUUUUGGCGGCAUAUAAGAAGCAUUGUUUUCAUGUCAUUAAAGAGAUGUGGAGAGAAUGUUAUGUUCUGCUUUUUAAUCAGUUAAUGCCCUAUGAGACUGGGUCUGUGGUUACGUUGACGGUCACGUGGUUGUGUCUUUCUCGACCCUCGAAACCUCUAAUACGUCCAGAGGUUUUUGCGCGUGGCUGAUUGUGACUUUUUUUUAUCUCUUAUGGGAAUAUGACGAUGAUGAUUGAAUGAUUUCAGUUCGUUAAAUCCAAAAAAUAUGGAGAAACAAAGAAACAAAAUUGGUCCCGUUAUCCAUUUGGUGGCUUUCAAUCAUGUGCGAAGUUUUCAUAUCAUCUUAAGCCGUUCAUUGCAGCUUGCAUGCAGACAGAUUUUUAUUGUAUAUUGUAAAAGAUGAAAACUAAUUAAAUAAUAUAUAACUGUAAACAUAUAUCUAAAAGGUCCUGGAUAAAGUUUUGAAACAUAGCAUAUCUUCUGCAUAUUCAAGUUUAAUCACCUUUUUUUGUUCAACGUUUAAUCACAUUCAUAUAUAUUCAUAUAUAUAUAUAUAUGUAUAUGUUUUUUUGGUACUGGUCUACUGGGUGAAGAUUUUAAGCUAAAACCCUAAUUAAUAGUUAUGACUUCUGUACAAUGUCAGAUAUUCUUGUCGCUUGAGAAAAAGCCUAAUUAUUAAAAAAUAAUUAAGUGGAGCAAAUUUUACCAAAUUGUCUGCUAUAUGGUUUAUGUUUUAAUGCUGUUGGUUUCUUUAUGGGGAGCUUUACACUAUAAAAAAUCUAUAAAUAAAUGUAGCAUCAAAUAUUCAAAUGAAUCGAUUAGUUUAUAUAUAGCGUAGAUCCAAGUAAAAUCUGAAUCUAUAUUUUUGGACCCAUGAAACUAAUACAUGGUAGUUUCUAGUUAGUUAGGAAUUAGGAUAGUGUGUGGAUACAUGUAUGAUAAAGUUUUGUAAGUAUAAGUAAUGUGGCGUGCAUUAUUGGCAUUUAUCUUUUAUAGAAUAUAUGAGGCACGAUUAUAGUGGUAUUCAUCAUCUCGUUCGUCACUCUUCCCAAACUUUUCAUUUGAAAAGGAAACAAUAAUUUGAAAUUUUAUUUUCUGUUUGUUGCGGUAGGCAUUUUUCUUUUAUCCACAACAACGAUCUUAUGCCCAACGUACAGUGUGUGAACACGUGCCCUAGACAAUAUCAAGCAAUUAUCUCUUUCCAUUUAUUCUAUUUUAAGGUUAAUUUCUAAUCUAUUAGACCAUGAUUAUUAGGUGAAACCCAAAAUGAGUUUCUAAAUUUUUUUUCUGUCUUAUCUGAUUUAUA
Molecule: long non-coding RNA, 1740 nt
Organism: Brassica rapa (field mustard)
Lineage: Eukaryota; Viridiplantae; Streptophyta; Magnoliopsida; Brassicales; Brassicaceae
Source: RefSeq, a predicted model, not a curated record